CUGCUAUAAAAUGGGAAGGACUUUCUGCUCCGCGUCACUCCGUUUCACACCCAAAAGAUUUGUAAAGAGGAAUGUAUGGACAGACUGAACCUCAGGGACCUGGUGUCCAUUUCAAUGAAUAUGCCCAGUGUGAAUUGGAAACUCUUCGACCUUUUCCAGAAAGAUCACACUGAGCAGUAUGGAGAGAGCCCUGGAAGUCUGACCAUCACUGCUCUUGUACAUGGAAGCCGUGAAAUCGAAGAAACUCUCGAACCAUGGAACAGCAUCUUAUGACACAUUUGCAGCAGCCAUGAAGGAUCCACUCAUCUUGGCCAAAUUGCAGUUCUACAUGGCACUUGCCAGGACCUUCACUCCCUUCCUGAAAAAAUAUCAGACAGAUGAGCCUGUGCUUCCAUUCCUUCCGAAGGACCUGACUGAGUUGAUGAUGAGUCUACUCAGACGCUUCAUAAAGAGAGAAGUCCUCCAUUAAAUCACUGCCCUGCAGCUGACCAAAUUGGAUGUCACAGACAAGACCAUCUGGCUCAGCCCACAAGACAUCAGCAUUGGUCUAGUUCAGGUGUGGCCAACCCGCGGCUUCCGAACCGCAUGCGGCUCUUUGGCUGGUUUCAUGCGGCUCUUACGUUCAUGUUACGUUUUGUUUUUAUGAUGU
Molecule: long non-coding RNA, 649 nt
Organism: Silurus meridionalis
Lineage: Eukaryota; Metazoa; Chordata; Actinopteri; Siluriformes; Siluridae
Exons: 5
Source: RefSeq, a predicted model, not a curated record